ACGUAGGGAGCGAGCGUUAUCCGGAUUUACUGGGUGUAAAGGGCGAGUAGGCGGGAUAGCAAGUCAGAUGUGAAAACCCGGGGCUCAACUCCGGGCGUGCAUCAGAAACUGCUGUUCUUGAGUGAUGGAGAGGCAGGCGGAAUUCCCAGUGUAGCGGUGAAAUGCGUAGAUAUUGGGAGGAACACCAGUGGCGAAGGCGGCCUGCUGGACAUUAACUGACGCUGAGGAGCGAAAGCGUGGGGAGCAAACAG
RNAcentral lists this ribosomal RNA (251 nucleotides) under uncultured prokaryote. RNAcentral's name for it is "partial 16S rRNA". It matches the Rfam family "Bacterial small subunit ribosomal RNA", at positions 525 to 775 of the family's 1533-position model. The record is from RNAcentral.